This 99-nucleotide ribosomal RNA is filed under the name uncultured bacterium. RNAcentral's name for it is "partial 16S ribosomal RNA". It matches the Rfam family "Bacterial small subunit ribosomal RNA", at positions 1384 to 1482 of the family's 1533-position model. The record is from RNAcentral.
UACACACCGCCCGUCACACCAUGGAAGUUGGUUGCACCAGAAGUAGGCAGCUUAACCUUCGGGAGGGCGCUUACAACGGUGUGGCUAAUGACUGGGGUG